Molecule: ribosomal RNA, 230 nt
Filed under: uncultured bacterium
Lineage: Bacteria
Description: partial 16S ribosomal RNA
Rfam family: Bacterial small subunit ribosomal RNA
Source: RNAcentral
UUAUCCUACGGGGGGCAGCAGUGGGGAAUAUUGCACAAUGGGGGAAACCCUGAUGCAGCGACGCCGCGUGAGUGAAGAAGUAUUUCGGUAUGUAAAGCUCUAUCAGCAGGGAAGAAGCAAGACGGUACCUGACUAAGAAGCCCCGGCUAACUACGUGCCAGCAGCCGCGGUAAUACGUAGGGGGCAAGCGUUAUCCGGAUUUACUGGGUGUAAAGGGAGCGUAGACGGUA